GAAUAUGAAGCGAUUUAUUGCAAUUAGUUUCGACCUAAUCUUAGGUGCUACGUACCCUUAUUCU
This 64-nucleotide transfer RNA is filed under the name Bactrocera latifrons. RNAcentral's name for it is "tRNA-Arg". The record is from RNAcentral. Lineage: Eukaryota; Metazoa; Arthropoda; Insecta; Diptera; Tephritidae.